This is a long non-coding RNA of Gossypium arboreum, 843 nucleotides long. RefSeq lists it as uncharacterized. NCBI's taxonomy places the organism in Eukaryota, Viridiplantae, Streptophyta, Magnoliopsida, Malvales, Malvaceae. The record is from RefSeq and is a predicted model, not a curated record. The transcript has 2 exons.
CGCAAGACAACAGAGGGACCUGAGUAGCAAAUAGCCCAUUCGGCUUUGAAAAUGUCCCCCCCUUUUAUGCGUCGUUUCACCGUUUAAAGAAAACAAAAGGGUUUCUUCCAUUUUUAGGCAGAUUUCUGCUGCUUAUUUUUAAAAGAACUAAGUCUCCCUACCCCCUUUUCUCUUCCGUUCGGCUAGGGUCCUGAGCCCCUCGUCGCCGCCCUCGGUGGUUUGUCACACCACCAUUACAAUCAGUGGCCGACGACAAGCGAAAUAGGCUACCAAGCCUCUGUUCGUGGUGCCUUUGAAGGUCUCAAAUCCCUCAGCCGAGUGCCCGAAAAUAAAGGGACUUCCCAACCUCCCCUUUUGGGUUCAACUCCGAUGGAGAAAGAAGUCUCCGGAGACUGACCAUGGGGGUUUUCCGAUGUCAGACGAUGCGUGGAGGGCGACUGAUGGAGCAGCGUGCGAGCAGACGAAGAGGCGCGGGGCGGUGGCUAAACGUUCCUAGGGUUCUGCUGAUAUUUUUUUUGCAUUAGAUUGAUAGUUUGGGCUGUAUUUGUUAUUGGCCUGUUUAUUUUGGUUUGAAAUUUUGUUUUUUGGUUUUGAGUUAUGGGCAUCGGGCAAAUUUAAGCCCGUACACUCAGCAUUGAAAAUGUUUCACUCACUAACGAUGCACAAUGGAAGGAUUUCCAGCGUGAUCUUUGGGAGAAAAAGAAUCCCUUGUUUAUUGCCUUGAAUGAACAAGGGACUUCAUCAACCCUAAAACCAAGAAAUUAGGAUCUAAUUAAUUAAUGAUGUAAUCUAAAAAAACUCCUAAGUCCUCUCAAUUUCUUAAUAUUGGGGUCUUAUUUCAAA